This is a long non-coding RNA of Engraulis encrasicolus (European anchovy), 531 nucleotides long. RefSeq lists it as uncharacterized. The record is from RefSeq and is a predicted model, not a curated record. Lineage: Eukaryota; Metazoa; Chordata; Actinopteri; Clupeiformes; Engraulidae. The transcript is spliced from 3 exons.
UGAUGUUAUCGCUCCGGGAGUUAUUUAUUCAGGGGGUUAAUAAAAAGAACGGGAAAGCUCAGCGCUGGUAGGCGGUAGGCGUGUUCAAACUCGGAGACGUGCGCGAGGCUCACGUUGAGAUGAGAACGGACCUCAGUUUCCGGUGUCUCCACACCGCUGGUUAGACUCUUUCGCGACGAGAGCAUCUUGGAACAUAUGCCAAGAAGAAACUCCACGGCAUGUCUGGAAAGGGAAAUAUAUGACAGAUGAAGCCCCUUGGGAUCUGAACUCGCUUUCUGAGAAGAUUGCCUGCUCCAAUGGCACGGUCAUGUGUCAUCUAUUUUCUUGCUCUUCUCGUGAGUCAUGCUGUUUUUCCAGAUUCCUCUCGGCUCCUGUCGUCUCCGUCCUGUGUGAUUCCUGGAGAGGAGGAGGAUGAGGAGUGGAGUGAGGAGUGUAGUGAGGUGUUUAGUGAGUGUGUGUCCGAUGAGGACAUCUACUGCACCUGGAGCUCACACACGCCUCCCAACGCCACACACACACUGCACUGGUCCG